AUUGUUGAUGUGGGUAAAUGCUGAAUGAUCCAAUAGUCUCAGACAGGAAGUCCAGGAGCCUUUGACUACGCCCUGGCAGGUAUAGUAAAGACCAGGAGCCUUUGACUAUGCCCUGGCAGUUAUAGUAAAGACCAGGAGCCUUUGACUACGCCCUGGCAAUGGUAAGUACAGAGGUGUUAUAUACACAUAUACAUAUAUGACAGGAAGAC
This 209-nucleotide long non-coding RNA is filed under the name Manihot esculenta (cassava). RNAcentral's name for it is "long non-coding RNA (MESC_LNC011610)". Lineage: Eukaryota; Viridiplantae; Streptophyta; Magnoliopsida; Malpighiales; Euphorbiaceae. The record is from RNAcentral.